UAACGCGUGGGAAUCUGCCCUGGAGUGGGGGAUAACCCGGCGAAAGCCGGGCUAAUACCGCAUACGUCCUGAGGGAGAAAGAUUUAUCGCUCUAGGAGGGGCCCGCGUCGGAUUAGCUAGUUGGUGAGGUAACGGCUCACCAAGGCGACGAUCCGUAGCUGGUCUGAGAGGAUGAUCAGCCACACUGGGACUGAGACACGGCCCAGACUCCUACGGGAGGCAGCAGUGGGGAAUAUUGGACAAUGGGCGCAAGCCUGAUCCAGCAAUGCCGCGUGAGUGAUGAAGGCCUUAGGGUUGU
This 298-nucleotide ribosomal RNA is filed under the name uncultured Sphingomonadaceae bacterium. RNAcentral describes it as "partial 16S ribosomal RNA". It matches the Rfam family "Bacterial small subunit ribosomal RNA", at positions 111 to 426 of the family's 1533-position model. The record is from RNAcentral. Lineage: Bacteria; Pseudomonadati; Pseudomonadota; Alphaproteobacteria; Sphingomonadales; Sphingomonadaceae.